Molecule: ribosomal RNA, 623 nt
Filed under: Staphylococcus sp. MB-23
Lineage: Bacteria; Bacillati; Bacillota; Bacilli; Caryophanales; Staphylococcaceae
Description: bacterial SSU rRNA
Rfam family: Bacterial small subunit ribosomal RNA
Source: RNAcentral
GUGCUGCAGCUAACGCUUAAGCACUCCGCCUGGGGAGUACGACCGCAAGGUGAAACUCAAAGGAAUUGACGGGGACCCGCACAAGCGGUGGAGCAUGUGGUUUAAUUUGAAGCAACGCGAAGAACCUUACCAAAUCUUGACAUCCUUUGACAACUCUAGAGAUAGAGCCUUCCCCUUCGGGGGACAAAGUGACAGGUGGUGCAUGGUUGUCGUCAGCUCGUGUCGUGAGAUGUUGGGUUAAGUCCCGCAACGAGCGCAACCCUUAAGCUUAGUUGCCAUCAUUAAGUUGGGCACUCUAAGUUGACUGCCGGUGACAAACCGGAGGAAGGUGGGGAUGACGUCAAAUCAUCAUGCCCCUUAUGAUUUGGGCUACACACGUGCUACAAUGGACAAUACAAAGGGCAGCGAAACCGCGAGGUCAAGCAAAUCCCAUAAAGUUGUUCUCAGUUCGGAUUGUAGUCUGCAACUCGACUACAUGAAGCUGGAAUCGCUAGUAAUCGUAGAUCAGCAUGCUACGGUGAAUACGUUCCCGGGUCUUGUACACACCGCCCGUCACACCACGAGAGUUUGUAACACCCGAAGCCGGUGGAGUAACCAUUUGGAGCUAGCCGUCGAAGUGGACA